This is a long non-coding RNA of Hemicordylus capensis (graceful crag lizard), 5690 nucleotides long. RefSeq lists it as uncharacterized. Lineage: Eukaryota; Metazoa; Chordata; Lepidosauria; Squamata; Cordylidae. The record is from RefSeq and is a predicted model, not a curated record. The transcript is spliced from 2 exons.
CCAUGGAGGCUAGAGGUGGUGGGCCCGGGUCAGGCCCAGCCAUGGAAGCAAGGCCCAGGAGGGGGGAAUGAAACUGGGAGGGGCAUAAGUGGCAGUGGGGAGGAAAGGUGGCUGGGCCUGGAAAAAGAGACUGGGGCAGAAGGGGGGGGGGAGAGGUAACCUCCGGCCCCAAAGAGCGCACAGAUGCUCUGUGCGGGGUUGGCUAGUUACUUUGAAUUUAUUCAGUCUUCAGAAUGCAGCAUUUAUUGGGUCAGACAUUGGAUUUGGCUGGUUUCCCCCCGAGGCUGAGGGAAUUGUUUGCUUUAUCAGGGAGAAUAUGUUUAGCUAACCAAGCAGUGCCAUACUGAUGAAAAUUAUUCAGAGUAGUUCCAUUAAAAUUAAAAGGACAAGUUAGGCCAUGCCUAAUGAUGCUUUGAUUUCAGUGGAAGUACUUUGAGUUAUUUUCAUCACUAUGUCAGGAAAUGAUUUCCCCCCAUUACUCUUACCAGAGAAUGGGGCCAAAAUCAGUUGCUUGGUUCAGAUAGAACGUAUGAAAAUGUGUUUGCUAUACUGAAUUUGUUAGAGAAGGGGCAACGAUAUACUGGAAAUGUGGGCUGACAUACAAAGAACUGUAUUAAGUAUACAAAGUUUGCCUUUUGUCUCCAUGAGAAAGCAGGCCCAUAUGCUGUAUCACAAACUGCUUUGGAUCUCAGCCCUGGCUAUAAAGUGUGGUAUCAAAAAGGGUGGAACUAGAAAGCUCAAUGAAGUCUACAAAUCUAAAAAGAAGCAUCUUUUCCCUAAUUAACCCUAUGAGAAGCAACUUCUAAAUUCAGUGGUUCUCCAGGAAAUAUAUUUGUAAGAGCUGCGCAUUGCAUCCAAUAAUUGGGUACGAGAUUAUACAAGCCCUAUUGGGCUAUAUUUCAUCAGAAAUUGUUCAGUUGAGAAAUGUCUCCAAUAUCAGCAAACAAUUUGAUGCAAUACCAAAUCGUAUCAGUAAUCUAUCGAAUAUUAUUGGAGAAAUGGGCUGCCUUCUAAGAAGCCACAGCUGCAGCGUUUCAAAUCUCUGCCUUCGGUUUCCUGGGUGCACCCUAACAUGCCCCAGGAAGGGAAGCAAUGUUGUGAUGUUGCAUCCUGCUUCUGGCACACACUACUUGCGGGGGUGGCAGUGGUGGAUUGUGACUGUGGUCAUCUGGUGGUGAUUUAGUGCUGGGCCUUUUCUAUAGCUGCCCCAAAGUUUUGGAACUGGUAGCUUUAAAAAAAAAAAAAAGCCUCAAGGCACACCUGUUUAACCAGGCAUUUAGUUAAAUUUAAAAUUGUUUUAAAUGUUUUAAACAUUUGUUUUAACAUUUGUGUUUUAUUUUAAUCUUGUGUAAACUGCCAAGAAAUGUGUGUAUGUGUGUGUGUGUCCACACAUACAAUAUGUAGAAUAAUUAAAACCGAGCAUCUGAAGGAUCGCCGUCUCCCAAGGGUUUCUGCCUGCCCAAUAAAGUCAUCGGAGGGUGCUUUGCUCCGUGUGCUGACACUUAGGGAAACUUGAUUGUCGUGUACGCAGGACAGGGCCUUCUCUGUUGUUCAGGCUUCUACCCCAUAGGGGACUCCAGUCUUUUUUCCUGGCUUUUGUUUUUAUUGCUGUUGCUUUUUGGUGUUUUUGUGGUUUUAAUUGAUUUUAAUAUUUUAAUGUGAUUUUAUGGGAUUUAAUGGUAUUAACUUUUGUAAACUGUCUUGGGAUAAGUUUUAUGAAAGUCGGUAUAUAAAUCGAACAAUGAAUGAAUGAAUGAAUGAACGAACAAACAAUCUGCAAAUGAGUGGGCUGUAAGGCUGAUGAGCAGCAUUAACUAGUAACAGUGCAGCCCACUGGAUCAACGAUCUAACUGCAAAGAACAGCAUUAAUUUAUAAGUAUUAAAAGUAGCAUCUUCAAUAACUGCAGGCUGAAAAAACCAACCUUCUAAUCCAGUGAUCUUGGACCAGGAGGUUCAAGAUCACUGUGGGUAUUCUUUUUCUAAAUACACAGAACAGCAACAUAAAAUGUGUGUUUUGCUUGCUUUUAUUUGCUAGUAUGCUAAACACUACUAAUUGAUUCUGAUGAAGAGACCAAGCUAAGUGAGAAGAUUUGAGUUUUCAUGGCAAAAGCUCUUGCAAGAACCAUAAUGUAGAUGCAUUUGGCCACUUAGAGCUGAGGUGGUGACUGUCCUGAAACAGUGCCUGUAUGGAUGCAGUAAUGGACCGGUUGAGGAUGAAAAGCUGAGAUUCAAUCCAGACAAGACAGAAGUAAUGUUGGUUGGUGGUUCAUCUGCCCAGGUGAAUGGUGUUCAGCCUGUUUUAGAUGGGGUUGUACACUCCCUGAAGGAUCAGGUUUGCAAUCUUGCUCAUUGAUCCAGCAUUGUUGCUAGAGGCUCAAGUGGCCUCUGUGGCUCGGAGCACCUUUUAUCAGCAUCAGCUGAUACGCCAACUGUGACCUUACCUGGAUACAGAUAGCUUGACCACAGUUAUUCAUGCUCUGGUAAACCUCUCACUUAGAUUCCUGCAAUGCAUUGUAUGUGGGGCUGUCUUUGAAAAUGGACUAGAAACUGAAAAUGAUCCGGAAACUGGUACAAAAUAGGGCUGCAAGAUUAUUAGCUGGUCCUGGACAUUUUGUUCAUAUUAUGCCAGUGCUUCAUCAGCUGCACUGGCUCCCAGUCUGUUUCCAGGCCCAAUUCAAAGUGCUGGUUUUAACCUUUAAAACCCUAAAUGGCUUGAAACUGGGCUACCUGAGAGAGUGCCUUGCCCCAUAUGUCCCAACCUGAACCUUAAGAUCUUCUUCGGAGGCCCUCCUCCGAGUGCCCCUGACAAAUGUGGUGAGGUGGGUGGCUACUAGAGAGAGAGCCUUUUCAGUGGUUCUUUUUCAGUGGUUCCAUGCCAUUUAUGCAAUAGCCUUCCCAGUGAGGUUUGCCUGGCUUCAUCACUUUGUUCUUUUAGACACCAGGUAAAUAUCUUUAUGUUCGCUCCGGCCUUAUACAUAUAAAUUUUGAUUUUUACAUUUGAUUUUUAAACUGAUUUUAAAAGAGUUUUAGAAUGGCUUUGUAUUGUAUUUUGUAUUUUCUUUCCUUUCUCCCCUUUUCAUCUGUUAUGAUUAAUGUGUUAUGGGUUUUUAUUUUAUGUUUUAAUGCUGUGUUGUGAGCUGCCCAGAGAACAAUUUUGUUAUGGGGUGGCUAAUAAAUAAAGUUUGUUUAUUAUUAUUAUUAUUACAAUGUUCCUCUUCUUAAAUGUCUGAACAGGUGAAUGGUCUCACACUUUAAGAAUUCCGCUGUUUUGUGAAACACUCUCCAAACCGAGAAUGCAAAGCCUGUGGUCUGUCAGUACGGUUAUCUUCAUGGUAUGUGGCAUCACAAAACAUACCUGAAUGGGUGGGUGCGGGGUGCGUGGGCAUAUGUAAAGCAAAAUUAUAAUCGUUUAUAGAAGAGAUUCAACCUUUAAUUAUAAGGACACUUUAAUGACAAAGCAGUUUGUAUUAUGAUGACUGCCCUACGGUUGCUACGAGUUGCAGGCCAUCAGUGCAGUGUUCAGCCCUGACCCUUGAUCUAACCCAACUCCCUGGUGAACCCAUCCAAUACUGAAGAGCCUUAAUUUAAUAUCCAGAGGCCAGAUAGAACUGUGUUCAGUUGAUUGUUGUCAAUUUACCUUGCAGCAAAGCAACUUGAACUACAAAUGUAAGGUAGAGGUGGAAGGGGCAAGGCCUGCAGCUCAGCCUUUCACAGUCAUUUUGAAUUCCAUUUUGCUAGACCAGCCAACACUAAAAGGUUCAGAGGGCCAAUCUGAUUUGGCUAAACAUCCACAAGGUGAUACACUUAUCCAAAGCACUUUGGUCUGUGAAAUUCCAUAAGAAUACCCUCUUAUGAGACCAGAAUAAUGUGUCUUUCAAAGAAGCAAAAGAAAAACAAUGUAGUACACAAAAAAUCUUCCUUUUAAAAAAGGAAGCCAUAUCAUUUUAGACUAAUUGAACAUAUAAGUUUACCUUUCAUGAGCUCCAUGUGUUUUUCUUUGGAUGCAACUUCCCCACCCUCUUCCCUGCUACAGUCCUCUACACCCCACAAAAGCCUCUCCUGAUGGCUGGACAAUCCUCCAGAAUGGGGUAGGAUACAAUGCUGGCCCAUAAUACUUUUCUGAGACUGGGUUUACACAAUCACAAGUAUGCUGGUUUAAAAAAAAAGCAGGAUAAAUGAGCCUUGUGGAGCUGAUUGUGAGAACCUAGUAUUUCAGGGUAAUCCUGGUCAAAUCACACCAGUAAACUAGCAUUUUACUAGGACAGUUAAAGCCUCUUCUCGUGACCAGAGCCUCCUUUUGGCUCUACAGCUUAUGCAGCCAAAUGAGCACUAGAGCAGCAAUCUCUGUUGCUGAUAUUGAGAGCUGGGGCCUCCAGAUAUCCCACAAUGCACUGUGUGAACAGCAGUGAGGCAGCCCUCAAUACUGCAGCAUCUCCACUCUGCCUGGCCCCGCAAGCUACAGGACUCUGUGAUAAACAUGGCCCAUGAACAGUUUCAAAUGGCACAACUUUAAGGAAUCUCCAGAGAUGUGAUUCCUCCAUCAUCUAAUCCUAGGUAAAUCUUCCUUCUAACUUCUCGGAUUAUUAUGGGCACCACAACAUAAUAGACUCAGAGGUACCAACCCAGAAGUAUGUGGAAUUCAGGCCUGUGUCUGAUUUCAUUUUAUAUUAAGAAAUGAAUUAAUGCCUGGACUCAGGGUGAAUUGACACCCCAGAUCUCAACUGGUCUGUGAGGGAAGAGGUGAUCCAGCAUUGUAUUGUGAAAUGGGUACUCAAGGAAGCACAAAAACCAGGCCCGAACAAUCCAAAUGCUAAAAUGUGACUCACUAUCAAAUAAUGUCUGUGGAAGAGGCCAGAGGCUGAUCUCCCCUCUCCUGUUGCAAGAAGUCCAUGUUAAUUCUUGUCAAUGAUUGACUCAAUUGCUCUCUAUAGAAAUUCAUCAUAGGUAGAUGCACACAAAGAAAACACCUAUAGACUUUUAAUUCUUACUUUGCUAACACUUUAACACCUUUUUGGGGUCAGGCUGGCAAAUCUGGGAAGAUGCCCAUUUGCAGCUCAGGGAUGCAGAUUUGCUUUGGGCAUUGUUUCUCCCUUUCUAAGCUCACAGCUUACAGAAGAUGGGAUUCAGAUUUCUCUGGACUGGCCAAUAUCCUGAAUAAUUAGAAGACAUUAUCCAGAAGGUAACAGCAUUGUCACCCCUUUUUUGGGGACCCGGGAAAAGAUGAGAUUUGAAUAGACUCUAUGAGCCAUGGUGCCCUGACUCUCAGCCGUGCUCUGAGCAAACUGCAUGCUUGAUCCAAAAGCUCCUGUCUCCAGCCAAAAGCCUCGAUCCUUCAGCUGAAAGAUCCACCGCUCUCAAAGCCUCUGAUCCUGGUAAUAUGCUGCCCCUACAAGCCUUGGAUCCCUUCAUCCCUUCCCUUCUUCUCCCUUCCCCUUGUCCAUCUACUAAUUCCUGAUCUCCCCAAACCAUGCCAGGCCUCAGACUUCCUUACCACCACCCCCUUUUUCCAUCUGUAUCUGAAUUGUAUUAGGCUCUGGGAAGAUUUAAUACACACACAUAUGUUAGUUAGGAACAGUGGAUGAAUAUUGGUGUUGGCUUGGGUUGAAAUACUGCUAUAGAAUGUUCUGCUUUCUGCUCAGCUAGAUUGAAGUUGUUGUUCUUUUAUACUCAAUAAAGCCCAUUGAAUCAUU